GUUGAGGUGCGGGACUAUUGGGGCCCCAUUGGACCUGGGAGCAACACCGUGACCUCAAAAAAAGAUCUCGUGACUGGAAGAUGCAAGAGGUGGCAAGGACGUGAAGCAGAUGCACUUACGGCUGCGUAUACCCUGUGUAAACAACAUCGCUGCUCUCGCGUCCUUCAUCCUUCGCCAAGUGCGAUCAAGUUCAGCCAUUCCAGGUGGUCAUCUGUCCUGAAGGCGAACCGACUCAUUCUGCAGAUCGCAGGUGCCUCCGGCCGUCCAUCCAAACUAAAUUCAGCCGAACCGUGGAGCAUCCCCGCGCACGCACCGACUUUGAGGAAGGUGUUGAGCUGCAGGGGCC
Long non-coding RNA from Lethenteron reissneri (Far Eastern brook lamprey), 346 nucleotides. RefSeq lists it as uncharacterized. The record is from RefSeq and is a predicted model, not a curated record. Lineage: Eukaryota; Metazoa; Chordata; Hyperoartia; Petromyzontiformes; Petromyzontidae.